UACGAAGGGUGCAAGCGUUGUUCGGAUUUAUUGGGCGUAAAGCGCGCGCAGGCGGGCAAUUAAGCCAGAUGUGAAAUCUCGGGGCUCAACCCCGAAACUGCGUCUGGAACUGGUUGCCUAGAAUCUCGGAGGGGGAAGGAGAAUUUCGCAUGUAGGGGUAAAAUCCGUAGAGAUGCGAAGGAACACCAGAGGCGAAGGCGCCUUCCUGGACGAGUAUUGACGCUGAGGCGCGAAAGCGUGGGGAGCAAAC
Molecule: ribosomal RNA, 250 nt
Filed under: uncultured bacterium
Lineage: Bacteria
Description: partial 16S ribosomal RNA
Rfam family: Bacterial small subunit ribosomal RNA
Source: RNAcentral